Molecule: unclassified non-coding RNA, 123 nt
Filed under: rhizosphere metagenome
Description: partial ribosomal RNA internal transcribed spacer region
Source: RNAcentral
GAUGCGGCGCAAGCCGUUUAACCAAACACACUGUGAACCGUGGCUUCGGCCUCUUCAAACCAUGUAGUACAGAACGUAAUCAUGAUAAUCAUCAUAACUUUCAACAACGGAUCUCUUGGCUCU